This 273-nucleotide ribosomal RNA is filed under the name Chaetoceros curvisetus. RNAcentral describes it as "partial Bacterial large subunit ribosomal RNA". It matches the Rfam family "Bacterial large subunit ribosomal RNA", at positions 2642 to 2912 of the family's 2925-position model. Lineage: Eukaryota; Bacillariophyta; Thalassiosirophyceae; Chaetocerotales; Chaetocerotaceae. The record is from RNAcentral.
CCGUCGCGGGCGUAGGAAAUUUGAGAGGAUCUGCUCCUAGUACGAGAGGACCAGAGUGGACUUACCGCUGGUGUACCAGUUGUCUCGCCAGAGGCAUCGCUGGGUAGCUAUGUAGGGAAGGGAUAAACGCUGAAAGCAUCUAAGUGUGAAACCCACCUCAAGAUGAGAUUUCCCAUAACUAUAUGUUAGUAAGAGCCCUGAGAGAAGAUCAGGUAGAUAGGUUAGGAGUGGAAGUUGUGUGAGCAAUGGAGCGGACUAAUACUAAUAGCUCGA